CGCGUAGGCGGCUUUUUAAGUCCGGUGUGAAAGUCCUGCUUUUAAGGUGGGAAUUGCAUUGGAAACUGGAAAGCUUGAGUGCAGGAGAGGUAAGUGGAAUUCCCGGUGUAGCGGUGAAAUGCGUAGAGAUCGGGAGGAACACCAGUGGCGAAGGCGACUUACUGGACUGUAACUGACGCUGAGGCGCGAAAGUGUGGGGAGCAAACA
This 207-nucleotide ribosomal RNA is filed under the name uncultured bacterium. RNAcentral's name for it is "partial 16S ribosomal RNA". It matches the Rfam family "Bacterial small subunit ribosomal RNA", at positions 568 to 774 of the family's 1533-position model. The record is from RNAcentral.